Molecule: ribosomal RNA, 858 nt
Filed under: Neofusicoccum cruentum
Lineage: Eukaryota; Fungi; Ascomycota; Dothideomycetes; Botryosphaeriales; Botryosphaeriaceae
Description: eukaryotic LSU rRNA
Rfam family: Eukaryotic large subunit ribosomal RNA
Source: RNAcentral
GCCCUAGUAACGGCGAGUGAAGCGGCAACAGCUCAAAUUGAAAUCUGGCGUCUUCGGCGUCCGAGUUGUAAUUUGCAGAGGGCGCUUUGGCAUUGGCAGCGGUCCAAGUUCCUUGGAACAGGACGUCACAGAGGGUGAGAAUCCCGUACGUGGUCGCUAGCCUUUACCGUGUAAAGCCCCUUCGACGAGUCGAGUUGUUUGGGAAUGCAGCUCUAAAUGGGAGGUAAAUUUCUUCUAAAGCUAAAUACCGACCAGAGACCGAUAGCGCACAAGUAGAGUGAUCGAAAGAUGAAAAGCACUUUGGAAAGAGAGUUAAAAAGUACGUGAAAUUGUUGAAAGGGAAGCGCUUGCAGCCAGACUUGUCCGCAGUUGCUCAGCCUGUCUCCUGACAGGCGUACUCUUCUGCGGCCAGGCCAGCAUCAGUUCGGGCGGUCGGAUAAAGACCUGGGGAAUGUAGCUCCUCUCGGGGAGUGUUAUAGCCCCGGGUGCAAUGCGGCCAGCCCGGACUGAGGAUCUCGCUUCGGCUAGGAUGCUGGCGUAAUGGCUGUAAGCGGCCCGUCUUGAAACACGGACCAAGGAGUCUAACAUCUAUGCGAGUGUUUGGGUGUCAGACCCAUGCGCGUAAUGAAAGUGAACGGAGGUGGGAACCCUCACGGGUGCACCAUCGACCGAUCCUGAUGUCUUCGGAUGGAUUUGAGUAAGAGCAUAGCUGUUGGGACCCGAAAGAUGGUGAACUAUGCCUGAAUAGGGUGAAGCCAGAGGAAACUCUGGUGGAGGCUCGCAGCGGUUCUGACGUGCAAAUCGAUCGUCAAAUUUGGGUAUAGGGGCGAAAGACUAAUCGAACCAUCUAGUAGCUGG